UGGGGAAUAUUGCACAAUGGGCGCAAGCCUGAUGCAGCCAUGCCGCGUGUAUGAAGAAGGCCUUCGGGUUGUAAAGCACUUUCAGCGGGGAGGAAGGCGUUAAGGUUAAUAACCUUGGCGAUUGACGUUACCCGCAGAAGAAGCACCGGCUAACUCCGUGCCAGCAGCCGCGGUAAUACGGAGGGUGCAAGCGUUAAUCGGAAUUACUGGGCGUAAAGCGCACGCAGGCGGUCUGUCAAGUCGGAUGUGAAAUCCCCGGGCUCAACCUGGGAACUGCAUUCGAAACUGGCAGGCUAGAGUCUUGUAGAGGGGGGUAGAAUUCCAGGUGUAGCGGUGAAAUGCGUAGAGAUCUGGAGGAAUACCGGUGGCGAAGGCGGCCCCCUGGACAAAGACUGACGCUCAGGUGCGAAAGCGGGGGGAGCAAACAGG
Molecule: ribosomal RNA, 429 nt
Filed under: Chloroflexota bacterium
Lineage: Bacteria; Bacillati; Chloroflexota
Description: Chloroflexi bacterium partial 16S ribosomal RNA
Rfam family: Bacterial small subunit ribosomal RNA
Source: RNAcentral